Molecule: ribosomal RNA, 460 nt
Filed under: uncultured bacterium
Lineage: Bacteria
Description: partial 16S ribosomal RNA
Rfam family: Bacterial small subunit ribosomal RNA
Source: RNAcentral
CCUACGGGUGGCAGCAGUGAGGAAUAUUGGUCAAUGGACGAGAGUCUGAACCAGCCAAGUAGCGUGAAGGAUGACUGCCCUAUGGGUUGUAAACUUCUUUUAUAUGGGAAUAAAAUGUUCCACGUGUGGGAUUUUGUAUGUACCAUAUGAAUAAGGAUCGGCUAACUCCGUGCCAGCAGCCGCGGUAAUACGGAGGAUCCGAGCGUUAGCCGGAUUUAUUGGGUUUAAAGGGAGCGUAGGUGGAUUGUUAAGGCAGUUGUGAAAGUUUGCGGCUCAACCGUAAAAUUGCAGUUGAAACUGGCAGUCUUGAGUACAGUAGAGGUGGGCGGAAUUCGUGGUGUAGCGGUGAAAUGCUUAGAUAUCACGAAGAACUCCGAUUGCGAAGGCAGUUCACUGGACUGCAACUGACACUGAGGCUCGAAAGUGUGGGUAUCAAACAGGAUUAGAUACCCCUGUAGUC